This 1526-nucleotide long non-coding RNA is filed under the name Gallus gallus (chicken). Its description in RNAcentral is "lncRNA (ENSGALG00010012793.1)". Lineage: Eukaryota; Metazoa; Chordata; Aves; Galliformes; Phasianidae. The record is from RNAcentral.
CUCAGGUUCCCAUCUGCUGAGAGACACUAAUGAAGUCAUCUUAAUCAGGAUGCAGGUUUGCAACACCCGGCUGCAGCGUUGGAAACAAGUUUGGAGAUCCCUGCUCUGCUUCCAGGCAGCCUGGUGCUUUGUGCUGGAGGAACACGGAGUGAUGCUGUGCUGAGCAAAUACUACAACCUAUUCUGUAAGAGGCAGCAAGUACAGCAGCGAGUGCAGCGAGCCCUCAGCAACCAUGCUGAGCCCUCAGGCAGCAAUGCAUGGGAUGUCUGCUGGAGGAACACGAGAGAAAGGUACCUUCAGGUUGGUCUGAGGGGCUGCAAUCCUGUGCUGGUGGGAAUGAGACACCUGGACUGUGAUUUCAACAUUAACCUUAACGUUGAAUUAAGGCUAAAUUAAUUAAACUAGGCCCACUAGGUUAGUAGUAUUAAUUAAUUAUUAACAUAGGCCUGCUUUUGUGAAGCACGCUCCUCAUGAAUGCUGCUGCUUUGUGAGCUGUGCUGGCGUGGUGCACAGAGGGUUUGCCUGUAGCACAUCUGUGGAAGAGCUACAGCACUGUCCACACCAGAACCUCCUGACUGGAACAGAAAAUCCCAGAGUUGAGGGAACAGUAAAUGGCAUUCACUGGCAUUCCAGCUGUGGUGUGUUCACAGCAAUCCAGACCAGGAGGCACCCACCUGAUGGCCUCUCCCAGCUCCGGUGCUCUUUCUGACUCCCUGUCCUUCCCCAACACCCGGGCACACAGCCACCACGUCACUGCCCGGACGGCUGGGCCCAAACGUGCUGCUCUCUGUAAACAGGCUAAAAAUAUCCCCGCGCUGUUCCUGCGAGGGCCCUCAGGCUGGGAAGGAGGCCGGGAUCAGGCGGCCUCUGGGGAUGCUCCCUGCGGGCUCUGAGGGAAGGGGGGGUGGGAAGCAUCCAGACAGUGCUGUGUGAGGAACCCGGGGUAUGUCACAGGAGGGCUGUAGCAGCUGGUGGGAAGGAACUGUUCCUCAAGUACACUGAGGAUCAGGAGGUGAUGUGUGGAGGACGGCCCGGUGUCCCUCCAAGGCCGGGGCAGGGCCCUGCUCGGGCCGAGCAGAACAGGAGACAAAUUCCUCCAGCUGUGUUUCUCGUCUGAGGGCAAUAAUUUGGUCCUCCUGCUCUUCUGUUUGCGCCGCUGGACAGACUAGUGGAAGGCAAUUAGGAAGAUAAAUGUUUUUCCACCUCCCUGCAGUGCAUUUGUGAUUUAAAGAAAGGCUCAGCAGAGGUUACCACAGGCGGUUACAACAGUUUCUGAUUGCUGGGCUGAUUUCUGGACUGCACCAUUGCUCAGCUCAGUUAUUCAGCCCUACAAGAUGACAGGAAAGAAAGGGUCGUUUUAUAACGACAUAGAAAGCUAUCAGCAAAGCUCCAUUCAGGGGAUAUUUUUGUCAGUCCUACGUUUACUUCCUUUGAAGCACCUUAACCAGCUGUGCUCAAGUUGGCAUGGCCAGGAAGGACCGAGGACCACAUCUACAUCACAGGGCUGUGGGCCAGCGGCCUGCAAC